This 578-nucleotide long non-coding RNA is filed under the name Phoenix dactylifera (date palm). RNAcentral describes it as "long non-coding RNA (PDAC_LNC002154)". The record is from RNAcentral. Lineage: Eukaryota; Viridiplantae; Streptophyta; Magnoliopsida; Arecales; Arecaceae.
GAGGACUUAUGGGCAAAAAAGGCGAGAUUUAGUUCUAAUAUUUUUGACAUAGAAGGACAUAUGGGUAAUAUUCGCUUGAGCUUACUUUUUUUUUUUAAAGGGGUAAAGAGCUUGAACCCGCCGUUAAAUUCCUUGUUCUUUCCAGGUUUUCUUUUUAGUUUCCUCAAGAAAUUAAACACUAUGCGCCAGAGAGAUCACAAACAAGCAUAAACAAAUUGAGAUAACCUUGAAACGUGGUAAAAAACAAAGUAGUUGAUUUAUUUUUCAUAAAAUUAUUCCAUAGUUCAUCAGUAAUAAUUAGCAGAUGCUCAUCUUUUCAGCUAAAGCUUGCCGUUGCGCAUCGGUCUUUCCUUCUAAAUUCUUUUGUUCAAAAGAAUCUUGUGUGCAUGCGUGUAUGUGCAUAAGAGGAAAAAUUAUUGGUUGGACCAGAUCUACUACUGAGUUGGUGGAUCGGUUCAACUACAAAUAGACACGCACGGCAAAAUAUAGAGAGAUAAGAAAAAAGGGGAAAAAGAGAACCAAGGCAUCCCUUUCUCCUUGUUGUUUUGUAGUUGGACCAAUCCACCAGCUCAGCCGGG